GAGUUCGAGUCUCCUAACCUCCACUGAUCGAACUCAAUCUCCAUCUUCUGAAUGAUGGAAGGUGAACUCGAAUGUGAUGUGAUUUAGAUGUGUCCGCUGGCAUGACCCCAGCUUCCUGUCAUUCCAAAAUGACGUGACUAAUGACGAUAUUUUGGUUGAUAAGAUGCUGGGCUCGAACUGAUGAAUCAGUUUGAUGUCUAGCA
This 203-nucleotide unclassified non-coding RNA is filed under the name uncultured cyanobacterium. Its description in RNAcentral is "partial 16S-23S ribosomal RNA intergenic spacer". Lineage: Bacteria; Bacillati; Cyanobacteriota. The record is from RNAcentral.